RNAcentral lists this unclassified non-coding RNA (268 nucleotides) under air metagenome. RNAcentral describes it as "partial contains small subunit ribosomal RNA, internal transcribed spacer 1, and 5.8S ribosomal RNA". The stretch from base 1 to 46 matches the Rfam family "Eukaryotic small subunit ribosomal RNA", at positions 1786 to 1831 of the family's 1831-position model. The record is from RNAcentral.
AAGUCGUAACAAGGUUUCCGUAGGUGAACCUGCGGAAGGAUCAUUACAGUAUUCUUUUGCCAGCGCUUAAUUGCGCGGCGAAAAACCUUACACACUAUGUUUUUUUAAUUUGAAACUAUUGCUUUGGUCUGGCUUAGAAAUAGGUUGGGCCAAAGGUUUUAUCAAAACUUCAAUAUUUAUUAUUGAAUUGUUAUUUUAAUUUUAUUGUCAAUUUGUUGAUUAAUAUCAAAAAUCUUCAAAACUUUCAACAACGGAUCUCUUGGUUCUC